This 1628-nucleotide long non-coding RNA is filed under the name Anolis carolinensis (green anole). RNAcentral describes it as "lncRNA (ENSACAG00000030968.2)". The record is from RNAcentral. Lineage: Eukaryota; Metazoa; Chordata; Lepidosauria; Squamata; Anolidae.
UGUCUGUGUGCCGAAACCUUCUGCUUUUUGUUUACGUUGCAGGAAACAGUCAAGUUGCUUCCCAAGUCUCCUAAACUGCAUGGCGGCCAUAACUGGAAUUCCCAGGGCCCCCGCUGGGGUUCUUUGAAAGGAAAGGAGAGCACCCAAGGGAGCAGCCUGUACAAGUUUAGCUCAGCAAAGGAAAAAUGGAAGGAAGGGCGAAUCAGUCCUGAACAAGAAGCUGAGGAACUGGAGGAUCCUGAUGAGGAUGAGCCUAUAUCCAAAUUCUCUGGGAGCCUUUUUGAUUCCAGUGAUAACAUCCGGGACCAAAGAAGCGCUAGAGUUGGCCUUCAACAGGAGAGACAGAAAGUGGCACCAAAAGGGAAAAAUGUUCCAGCAGCCAACAAGAAGCCGCAGGUCCCAGCUGCAGCUACUACCAAUAGCCUCCCAACGGAGGGCAUCAGGUUUUCCAAGGAAAGCAAAGACCAAGUCCUUGGAGCUGCAGACUCAACUCAGGCACCUUUGAAGAUAACCAUUACUGUGUCCAGUCAAAUGGGGAGUCUUGGUAUUAGCAUUGCUGGUGGAAAGGGCUCAUCUUCAUGUAAAGAAAAUGAUGAGGGGAUUUUAAUAGCUCAUGUCUCCAAAGAUGUCCCAGUUGAAAUGGAGGAGGAACAAUCUGAAGACAAAGUAUUAGAGGAUGCCACUUUUUCUGAACCCAGCACACCUGAUUCUGGUCCUGCAGAGCUACCAUCUAAAAGUGGUCCAUUUCAAACAAUAAACCAUGUUAUAACAAUACCUCGCAUCAUCCUAACACGCCCUUCAACUUCAGAUGAAGAUACUGACCAGUUACCACAAGACCCGGAUGAUUUUGAGCCAGAGGAAACAGAGAAUACUGAAGGCCACCUCUAUUCAGACUGUUUAAACAAUGCUUUUUAUCCUCCUUAAUAAAAUGUUCUUUUUAGGAAAAACAACAACAACUAAGUAUCAUGGUAUUUAUUGUUCUUUUACUGUCACAUGGAAAGGUGAAGGCGAAGGGAGAAGAUUUGGAGAGGGUGAGAGGAAAAAGGGUCUAUCAAGAUGGGGAGCCAUGUAGGAUGGGUGCCAGGGAAGGCAGCUUGUAUUUCAGGUCGACUGAGAUUACUCAAGAUAGCUAAGAUGGAAGAGAGAAUGUGCUUGGAAGUAUUUAUCUACAUACAAACAAAGAAAAACAAAACAUUUCACAGCUGCUUCUCUGUACCUAACAACCUUGAGGGACUGGCGAUUAGGUACUUAAGACUUUCAUAGCAUUUAAUGGACUAUAUCCAAGGACAAUCUCAUAUGGACAUUUUCAUGUUUCUAAUUGACAGAAAGCCACAAGCAAGUGGUUUGUCUCUAGUAAGUGUAAUCAUAUAUAUGUAGUAUUAUGGAUUUCUGUGCUUUUACUUCUCAAGAAGCAAGCAUAAAUGAAGGUACAGGUGGGAAACAGCAGUCCUUUGGAUCAAUUCUUUUUGAGUUGAGGAGAAGAUAGUGAUUAGCAUUUUUCUCCUAAUGUUUUAGGAACUGCCACCAUAUUUAUUCCCAUUGUCUACAACUGAGAAUUUCUUUCCUGGGAAAUCUCUGUGGACCAACAAUUGCACUGGUCUACCACAUUCAGUAGUCCUGCUCUAGGA